RNAcentral lists this ribosomal RNA (486 nucleotides) under uncultured bacterium. RNAcentral's name for it is "bacterial SSU rRNA". It matches the Rfam family "Bacterial small subunit ribosomal RNA", at positions 30 to 507 of the family's 1533-position model. The record is from RNAcentral.
AUUGAACGCUGGCGGCAGGCUUAACACAUGCAAGUCGAACGGUAACAGAGAAUAGCUUGCUAUUUUGCUGACGAGUGGCGACGGGUGAGUAGUGCUUGGGAAUUUACCUUGUUGUGGGGGACAACAGUUGGAAACGACUGCUAAUACCGCAUAAUGUCUUUGGACCAAAGGUGGCCUCUAUUUAUAUGCUAUCGCGACAAGAUGAGCCCAAGUGGGAUUAGCUAGUUGGUAAGGUAACGGCCUACCAAGGCGACGAUCAAUAGCUGGCGUGAGAGCGCGACCAGCCACACUGGAACUGAGACACGGUCCAGACUCCUACGGGAGGCAGCAGUAGGGAAUAUUGGACAAUGGGCGAAAGCCUGAUCCAGCCAUGCCGCGUGAUAGAUGAAGGCCCUCUGGGUUGUAAAUAUCUUUUAUCUGGGAAGAAACUCCUCUAUUCUUAGAGGCCUGACGGUACCAGAGGAAUAAGCACCGGCUAACUCCGUG